AUAUGGUUGAUUAAAGCUAAGGGGACGAAAUCUUGGAGAUGUUGGAGAUGUUUUGAUUUCAAUAUUAUCUUGAAAUUUAUAGAAAACUCUAGAAAAAGAAAGUUAAAUGUGGCUAUUAGAAGUUAUGCCACUUGUACAAUUUUGAAAGCCAUAUAUUAUAAUGAGUGGAUGCUAUUUAUAUUGAUAUAUAUUUAAAAAAACUGGACCCUCAACCUUAUGGAGGGGGAGAAAAUCACGGUCACCAUGAGAGAAAGAAACCGUGAGGUUCAAGCUCUAGCCUCGUUGUCGAUUUUCGUUGUAUCGAUCGUCCGAUUGCAAAAACCUUGAUAAAUCAAGUAGCUACGCCCAAUUAUUUACCAUGUCAAAGAGUAAGGGGUUGGAAGAAAAAGAGUCGUCGAAAAGGAAAGGUUUGGAAGUAAACACCAUCCAGGUUAGUCAACAUUGGAAGUACCGGUUGAUGUUUCUGUCAUGUUUUCUCCAGCGCUGCAUCCUUAGAGGGCCACUGAGCUUUAUUACCGAUAGAUUUUCGAAUGGUUAGUUGUGGCAUGUUAGCACUAAAUAUUAUACUAAGCUACUUCCGCUAUAAUUGUAAAUAUUAAUUAUUGAUUUAAGGAUUUGUUUUUGAAUGGUUUAGAAAAUGAAAAUUUUAAAUUGCCAUACUUUAUGGUACCGGAAUUGCGACAUCACCUACUCGACCGGCGGACGUUCGGGUGGGGGUGUUACAAGUUUUGGUAUCAGAGCCUAGGUUUACGCGUUUCUAGGCUUCUGGUUGGGUUCAAGUUAGUUUAAACACAUGCCACAGAAUAUUGAGUCGUUAUCACUAUCAGUGACCCGAUGCAGCUGCUACCAUAUGUUGAUAUAGAAGUUUGUCAAAUGGAGAUUUGACACACUAUAUAUAGUACGGGAUAGGAAUUCCCGUGUGACCGAGAAAUUAGUUAUAUGGGACUGGCCACCCCAUAUAGCUUGAAUCUCGGUAGCGUCAUUUUGGGUGAAAGAUUAAAAAGCUUUAAGAAUGAUGAUAUUAGAAUUGGUCAAAAAGAGAUGAUAUUGCUUGUGAUCUAUAUGUGUUGGUUUAUGAAUAAGAAUGUGAUAAUGUAUGUGAUUUGCAUAAAUGGUGUGAUGGGUGGAAAUGAUACACGAUAUGUGAUGUGAUGUGAGGGAUUAAUAUGUAAUAUGUGGUAUGACGAAGGAUUUGAUCAGCCCUAUGCGGGUGCAUUUUGCUUUGCACACAUACCUGUGUUUAUCGCUCAGCAAAUUUGGGCAAAUAAGUGAAAAUAUUUGAUAAUGUCGAUUAUAAUAUAUUUGAUGAUGUGUAUAUGAUUAUGUGUGCAGUAGCCUGUGGAUAAUAUAUAUGUUUGAAAGGUGAUAUUGUUUGUGUUAAGAAGGUAAAUAUGUGAAUUGGUUGAUACUUGAUAUAGUUGAAAAUGCGUGCCCUUAAAUGGGUUAUAUGUGUUACCGAGUCGAGCUAUGUGUUGUGGAUGAAUAUAUAAAUUCUGUAUGGAUUAUAUGUGUGUUUGGAAUCUGGCAAAAUGAAUUAUGAUGUGAUGUGACAAAGAUAUAAGCAAAGUAUUUGUCCAUGAUAAAAGAUAUGGAUACAAAAUGUGAUCUGACUAGAAAUGUGAACUCCGUAAGAACUAUGUGUGCGCUCAAAGACGAGCUAAACGAAUAUGGAAAUUUAAAUGAGGAUUUAUAAACUGAAUGGAAAAAGGAAAAUGGGUGCAUAUAUGUGAUAAUAUAUAUGUUGUGAGAUAUGAGAAUGUAGGUGAUUUGUGUGUGUUUCGAUAUAAGAGAAUGUCGGUUAUAGCAAUAUGUAUAUAUAUUUUUAUGUAAGAGCGUUGUUGAUUGGUAUAUGUGUCACGAUAUAUGAUAAUAAAUGUGAUUUGUAAACGUGUUGGCGUGUGGAUAAUGUGUUAUAUUCUUUAAAUUUAACUUGACAAUCUAUGUAGGCUGUUGUCAAGUUGUGGAUUUUACUAUGUAUCAUAUUCUAUGAAGUUGGUGAGUUGAUAUGACUAUGACUUUGGCAAGUUCUAGGAAAUGAAAGAUAGAAUAAUGAAGUUAUACCAAGUUAUAAUAAAUUAAUGAUGUUAUAUGAAGAUACGAGGGGCGUGUAAAAUUAGAAGAUUAUAGAGAUUAGAUGACAUAGUACGAUAAAUGUCUAUAACCAUUUAGGUCAUGUAAAAUUUUGAGGACAAUUUUUUUUAAGGAGGGUAGAGUUGUAACACCCCAAAGAAGUGACCUUAGUCGGAAAUUGUUUUUCCGAUUAGGAAACCGGAGAAUCAGGACUCUUGUCGAAUAAUUCGAUUUUGAAAAUAGUGGUUGGAUAUGUGAAAAUGUGGUUGGUCUGUAUAUGUGCUAAGUAUAUUGGUAUGUGAUAUUGUUUGGUAGAUGUUAUGUGGAAUUCUUGAUGCUAUGGAAACGUUAAUUCAAAAUUGAGAAGGAAAUAAGUUGAAAUAUUAAAGUGUAUGAUUAGAAAGUGAUUAAAUGAAAGUUAAGUGAAGGAAUUGAAAAAUGAUGUGAGUUAAGGAUGAUUUGUUUUGAUAAAAUUUGAAAGUCAUCAGUUUAGUCCUUGACCGAUUUCUUCGAAAACAUGAAGAGUAUUAAUCAAAGUACUAAGCUAUUAUCUUGUAUAAUUUAGAGAUUAUAUUAGUUAAAUGUUGAACUUAAUAUAUGGAUUAAAUCAUGAGAAUAAAAUAAUUGGAUAUAAGAUUGACUAGAGAGUUGUUUUAGUAUAUUCACUUACAUAUAGAAUAAUAUUUAAGAAUAGAUGAGAGAGUCUGGCUUAUAUGCAAAAUUAUAUUCUCUAUGCAUUAAUGUAUAUUACAAUGCUAUCAAGGUAGCUACGCCCAAUUAUUUACCAUGUCAAAGAGUAAGGGGUUGGAAGAAAAAGAGUCGUCGAAAAGGAAAGGUUUGGAAGUAAACACCAUCCAGGUUAGUCAACAUUGGAAGUACCGGUUGAUGUUUCUUUCAUGUCUGCUCCAGCGCUGCAUCCUUAGAGGGCCACUGAGCUUUGUUACCGAUAGAUUUUCGAAUGGUUAGUUGUGGCAUGUUAGCACUAAAUAUUAUACUAAGCUACUUCCGCUAUAAUUGUAAAUAUUAAUUAUUGAUUUAAGGAUUUGUUUUUGAAUGGUUUAGAAAAUGAAAAUUUUAAAUUGCCAUA
Long non-coding RNA from Salvia splendens (bonfire salvia), 3157 nucleotides. RefSeq lists it as uncharacterized. The record is from RefSeq and is a predicted model, not a curated record. The transcript is spliced from 4 exons. Lineage: Eukaryota; Viridiplantae; Streptophyta; Magnoliopsida; Lamiales; Lamiaceae.